Molecule: non-coding RNA, 1521 nt
Organism: Meleagris gallopavo (turkey)
Lineage: Eukaryota; Metazoa; Chordata; Aves; Galliformes; Phasianidae
Source: RefSeq, a predicted model, not a curated record
GGCUGUGCGGCAGCGGGCGGGUGUGGCACGGAACGGCGCAGAGCGGGCAGAGCUGAGGCGUGAGCCGUGUCUGCUGCCCGCAGCCGGCCCCAGGGGGAAUGGGGCAGCAGCAUGCCACGGCUCCCGUGCCCAGCGUGCAUCUGUAACUCGUCUUACACUCGGUAUUCCACAAACCGUCUGUGUCUCCCACAGUGAAAUCGUGCAUCCAUCAUUACAGGCUCUUCUUGUGUCCUGUCAGGUCGUACCAUUUACGUGAUUUAAGCCUAAGAGUGCUCUAUAAAAGCAAACAGAUUGCUGUAAGGACUGCUGGAGGCACUGACAGUGCUGAUGUAUGUGCUGAGCUCAGAUGCAGUAAGGAGCGCGUUCCUCAGAAGCCACAAUCUCUCUUGGGAACAGAACUAACAUUGCUAAUCAAUGAUCAAGGCUUCUUGAAUUAAAACAAAUCCAGCACUGGUAAUUUUCUUUAAUAUUCACCAUUGCAUUAAGUUAAGAACGGCCUUAAGCUGAGAGGAGCGCACAGGAAAGUGAUACAAAAAUAACCACAAGGUUUGGGUAGGAAAUCACCAAACACAAUGCUCUGGACCGCGCUGCAUUGUUCUUGACCGGAUACCUUCUGCAGAAGUGCUUCACAACUCCGUGUAACUCCCGUUGGUGCUUUUUUUCUCCCCUGCUGAUGAGUUUGGAGAUGCUGGUGUCACAUAAAUGGUUUCUAUCCAGCAGUCUGGCUGUGGUUCAUUAGCUUUAAAGGCUCGCAAGCAGGAGUUUACAAUUGGUUUAAAUACAAGCAAAGAAACAGAGUGAUGACUCAGGAUAUACUUUUGAGCUUGAUUUCUACCUCUCAGUUCCUCUUUUUUUUUUCUUCUUUUUUUUUUUCGGUGAGUAGAAGGAACAAAAAGGCCAGCCGACAGGCUUGAGGUUCAGACACACUUCAGGAUCCUUCUUCCCAGCAAUUAUUUUUUUAAUUUCUGAGUAUGGGAGCUGCCGUUCUUGCCUUACUGCAACCCGAGGACAGUGGGCUUCUGAUGGCUGCUUGUGUUGGAUACAGAAAUUUUGGUUUGGUGCUGCUGAAAAGUGAGACAAAUAGAUCGGUGUGCAAGUUCUGCUCCUGAACACAUCUGACCUGUUCCCAGCCACUUCUGUGUUUUAUUCCACCAACCUGCUGGAACAGUGAGCCUGUAGCUCCACAUGCUCAGAUCCAGGUUUGCUAAAAGGUCAGCGGUAGUUCUUGCAAGAUGACCCAAAUGAGAAGUUGUCACGGGAGAGUGGCCUUGGAGUAUCAGCCACCUUUACAACAACAAGAAUUGCACUUUUUUGUUAGAGUCCAUCUGGUUUUGAGAUCUGUUACUGUAAUAGCUGAGAAAUGAUGUCUGCCAUGAGAGCACUAUGGAAAAUGAAGAUUUUUCCUUUAUAAUCUUGGAGGAUUGAAGGAUUCAAAAUAAAGUGGUGAUGCAAUUGCUCCUGAAAGAAUAAUAUUUUUCAGGAAAAAUCUGUUUAAAAGCAAUAAAUGUUGAAGGCUGUAAA